RNAcentral lists this ribosomal RNA (253 nucleotides) under uncultured bacterium. RNAcentral's name for it is "partial 16S ribosomal RNA". It matches the Rfam family "Bacterial small subunit ribosomal RNA", at positions 524 to 776 of the family's 1533-position model. The record is from RNAcentral.
UACAGAGGGGGCAAGCGUUAUUCGGAAUUAUUGGGCGUAAAGGGCGCGUAGGCGGCUUUUCAAGUGACGGGUGAAAUCCCUCGGCUUAACCGAGGAACUGCCUGUCAGACUGGAAGGCUUGAGACCGGGAGAGGUUUGUGGAAUUCCUGGUGUAACGGUGAAAUGUGUUGAUAUCAGGAGGAACACCCAUGGCGAAGGCAGCAAACUGGUCAUCAACUGACGCUGAGGCGCGAAAGCGUGGGUAGCAAACAGG